RNAcentral lists this transfer RNA (70 nucleotides) under Tomopleura sp. JEU-2016. RNAcentral describes it as "tRNA-Ile". The record is from RNAcentral. Lineage: Eukaryota; Metazoa; Mollusca; Gastropoda; Neogastropoda; Conidae.
GUGUUGCGCCGGAUGAACGGGAAUCAUUGAUGUUGAUUAAUAUAGGAUAGAUUAUCUUCAAUACUAGAAU